UUUGAGGUAGGGCCUGAAGGCUGACAACAAGUCUGUCAUGGAGUGGUCAGGAGGAAGAAUAUUCCAGCCAAAAAGAAAAGCAAGUACAAAGGUCCUGAGGUGGGAACAGAAAGUGUUCAAGUGAGAAGAAUGGAUGCGCCUACAGCAUGGAUGACCUUGAAAAAACUAUGGCCAGUGAAAGAAGCCAUCUGGAAAAGGCCACAGGUUGUGUAAUUCGUUCUACAAAAUGUCCAGAACAGACCCCACAGAUGUAGAGACGCCCCCUAGUGGAAGCAUCUCAGACUAGGAAGUCCGACUGCCUUGUAACGGGUCUACACGGCUGUAGGCUCCACAACCAGCAUGAACCUCACAUGAACCCAACAUGGGGCUUGAACUUACAACCCUGAGAUCAAGACCUGAGCUGAGAUCAAGAGUUGGAUUCUUGUCUGACUAAGCCACCCACAUGCCCCUUUUUUAUACAUUCCUUUUUUAAAAAUAUAAUAAUAUUCUUAUAUAGAAACUCUGUAGCAUAAUGAACUUCUCUUCCCGUUGGCUGGGAA
This is a long non-coding RNA of Canis lupus familiaris (dog), 539 nucleotides long. RefSeq lists it as uncharacterized. NCBI's taxonomy places the organism in Eukaryota, Metazoa, Chordata, Mammalia, Carnivora, Canidae. The transcript is spliced from 4 exons. The record is from RefSeq and is a predicted model, not a curated record.